Molecule: ribosomal RNA, 473 nt
Filed under: uncultured bacterium
Lineage: Bacteria
Description: bacterial SSU rRNA
Rfam family: Bacterial small subunit ribosomal RNA
Source: RNAcentral
UGGGGAAUUUUGGACAAUGGGCGAAAGCCUGAUCCAGCAAUGCCGCGUGAGUGAAGAAGGCCUUCGGGUUGUAAAGCUCUUUUGUCAGGGAAGAAACGGUGAGAGCUAAUAUCUCUUGCUAAUGACGGUACCUGAAGAAUAAGCACCGGCUAACUACGUGCCAGCAGCCGCGGUAAUACGUAGGGUGCAAGCGUUAAUCGGAAUUACUGGGCGUAAAGCGUGCGCAGGCGGUUUUGUAACGUCUGAUGUGAAAUCCCCGGGCUCAACCUGGGAAUUGCAUUGGAGACUGCAAGGCUAGAAUCUGGCAGAGGGGGGUAGAAUUCCACGUGUAGCAGUGAAAUGCGUAGAUAUGUGGAGGAACACCGAUGGCGAAGGCAGCCCCCUGGGUCAAGAUUGACGCUCAUGCACGAAAGCGUGGGGAGCAAACAGGAUUAGAUACCCCAGUAGUCCCUGAGCGGGCUGGCAAGGCGCAU